This 301-nucleotide ribosomal RNA is filed under the name uncultured bacterium. RNAcentral's name for it is "partial 16S ribosomal RNA". It matches the Rfam family "Bacterial small subunit ribosomal RNA", at positions 509 to 807 of the family's 1533-position model. The record is from RNAcentral.
CAGUCGCCGCGGGAAUACGUAGGUGGCAAGCGUUGUCCGGAAUUAUUGGGCGUAAAGGGCUCGCAGGCGGUUUCUUAAGUCUGAUGUGAAAGCCCCCGGCUCAGCCGGGGAGGGUUAUUGGAAACUGGGAAACUUGAGUGCAGAAGAGGAGAGUGGAAUUCCACGUGUAGCGGUGAAAUGCGUAGAGAUGUGGAGGAACACCAGUGGCGAAGGCGACUCUCUGGUCUGUAACUGACGCUGAGGAGCGAAAGCGUGGGGAGCGAACAGGAUUAGAUACCCGCGUAGUCCCUGUCUCUUAUAC